AUUGAACGCUGGCGGCAUGCCUUACACAUGCAAGUCGAACGGUAACGGGCCUUCGGGUGCCGACGAGUGGCGAACGGGUGAGUAAUACAUCGGAACGUGCCCGAUCGUGGGGGAUAACGAGGCGAAAGCUUUGCUAAUACCGCAUACGAUCUACGGAUGAAAGCAGGGGACCGCAAGGCCUUGCGCGGACGGAGCGGCCGAUGGCAGAUUAGGUAGUUGGUGGGAUAAAAGCUUACCAAGCCGACGAUCUGUAGCUGGUCUGAGGGGAUGAUCAGCCACACUGGGACUGAGACACGGCCCAGACUCCUACGGGAGGCAGCAGUGGGGAAUGUUGGACAAUGGGCGCAAGCCUGAUCCAGCCAUGCCGCGUGCAGGAUGAAGGCCUUCGGGUUGUAAACUGCUUUUGUACGGAACGAAAAGCCUUCUUUUAAUACAGGAGGGUCAUGACGGUACCGUAAGAAUAAGCACCGGCUAACUACGUG
Molecule: ribosomal RNA, 482 nt
Filed under: uncultured bacterium
Lineage: Bacteria
Description: partial 16S ribosomal RNA
Rfam family: Bacterial small subunit ribosomal RNA
Source: RNAcentral